This is a long non-coding RNA of Mauremys reevesii (Reeves's turtle), 439 nucleotides long. RefSeq lists it as uncharacterized. The record is from RefSeq and is a predicted model, not a curated record. The transcript has 3 exons. Lineage: Eukaryota; Metazoa; Chordata; Testudines; Geoemydidae.
UAAAGAUGGAACAAAAUAAGGAAGCUUUGCUGAAGUAAAACAGCAAAAUCUUAGUAUGCCAGUACUCUGCUAUCAGAAAGGAUGCCAGGAAUUCUUCUGGUCUAGCAUGUUCCUUCAGUUUAAUAAUAAUUUAGUGUUUAGAAAGCACUUUGGGGUGCUUGAAUGAAAGUAUUAUUGGUGUGGCUGACAACAUGAUUGGUGGCUAGGGUCUGAUCCAAAGCCCGUUGAUUUAAUGGAAAGAUUCCCAAUGACUUCAGUGGUCUCGAAUACAGAGGUGAUAGAUCUUCUAGGUAGGGAGAUUCAGAAACUCACAGUUUAGAUGGUGCAAUGCUUACUGUACAAACAACUCAUGAAAAGUCAACAUGUUUUACAAGUAAAUAAUUUACAACUGCUGUGCGGAAUACGGAAUAAUAUUUCACACUAAGUGACAUUAAUUAGG